GAGUCGCAACCUGCGCCUGGAGUCCCGCUCUCUCCGGCCGAUGGCGGCUCGGGUCAAAAAUAAGUUACUGCAUUCCUAUCGCUCCCCACCAAACUCCGUCCUUCGCCCGCAGACACUUCGCGCCUCCCCGCUUUCUCUCUCUCCCCUCAGUUGGUUUCCAGACUUCCUGACUCCGCGGGCCCCGUGAGAAGUGACACGGCCCGGGGGUCGCGAGCUGAAGACCCCAGCCUUAGGGGGAGGGUGUUAGCGGGGGAGGCGCCUCUCAGACCUUUUGACAGAGCUGCCCCCAGUCAGCCGCCUCUGUCCCUGCGCGUCGUCCCUGACAAUUCUGAGAGCUAUUGAAGGAGCUGAGAUUCAGAGAGACUGGAUCAUUUACUCCAGACACAUUCACUUUCUGGGCCUAAAGUGGACUCGGGGAGCACUUCCUACAGUUUUAAGUGCCUUAGGAUGGUCUCCUGACUCAUCUUCAAGAGAUGUUCUUCCAGAUGGGAUCAAGUUCAAGAAAGGAAGCCUUGGAGGGAUGCAGUUUCAGGGGGGUUUUAUGCAAUAAAGUUUUAAAUUAAUAGCCUUUGGCUUUCUCUUAGAGGUGAUUACAUUUGCCACAGAAAUA
This 610-nucleotide long non-coding RNA is filed under the name Capra hircus (goat). RNAcentral describes it as "lncRNA (ENSCHIG00010027342.1)". Lineage: Eukaryota; Metazoa; Chordata; Mammalia; Artiodactyla; Bovidae. The record is from RNAcentral.